Molecule: ribosomal RNA, 373 nt
Filed under: uncultured bacterium
Lineage: Bacteria
Description: bacterial SSU rRNA
Rfam family: Bacterial small subunit ribosomal RNA
Source: RNAcentral
UAAUACGGAGGGUGCAAGCGUUAUCCGGAUUUAUUGGGUUUAAAGGGUCCGUAGGCUGAUUUGUAAGUCAGUGGUGAAAUCUCACAGCUCAACUGUGAAACUGCCAUUGAUACUGCAAGUCUUGAGUGUUGUUGAAGUAGCUGGAAUAAGUAGUGUAGCGGUGAAAUGCAUAGAUAUUACUUAGAACACCAAUUGCGAAGGCAGGUUACUAAGCAACAACUGACGCUGAUGGACGAAAGCGUGGGGAGCGAACAGGAUUAGAUACCCUGGUAGUCCACGCCGUAAACGAUGCUAACUCGUUUUUGGGUUUUCGGAUUCAGAGACUAAGCGAAAGUGAUAAGUUAGCCACCUGGGGAGUACGGACGCAAGUCUG